AACGAACGCUGGCGGCAUGCCUAACACAUGCAAGUCGAACGAGACCUUCGGGUCUAGUGGCGCACGGGUGCGUAACGCGUGGGAACCUGCCCUUAGGUUCGGAAUAACUCCCCGAAAGGGGUGCUAAUACCGGAUAAUGUCUUCGGACCAAAGAUUUAUCGCCUUUGGAUGGGCCCGCGUUGGAUUAGCUAGUUGGUAGGGUAAAAGCCUACCAAGGCGACGAUCCAUAGCUGGUCUGAGAGGAUGAUCAGCCACACUGGGACUGAGACACGGCCCAGACUCCUACGGGAGGCAGCAGUGGGGAAUAUUGGACAAUGGGCGAAAGCCUGAUCCAGCAAUGCCGCGUGAGUGAUGAAGGCCUUAGGGUCGUAAAGCUCCUUUACCCGGGAUGAUAAUGACAGUACCGGGAGAAUAAGCUCCGGCUAACUCCGUG
RNAcentral lists this ribosomal RNA (433 nucleotides) under uncultured bacterium. RNAcentral's name for it is "partial 16S ribosomal RNA". It matches the Rfam family "Bacterial small subunit ribosomal RNA", at positions 29 to 507 of the family's 1533-position model. The record is from RNAcentral.